UCAAGAGGCGGGUUUUUCUUUUUCAUACCUAACUCUCAUCUAACAUUCCUGAUAUUGAAGCAGGUGUUUUAGAAGAGAAAAUAGUCCAGGUGAGUUAUACUUCGUCAAGCGAUGGUGUGAUAAAAAGUAGACAUCAGCGUGUGAUUUCUGGAUUUGGUUACGAUAGAACACAGACGCAAAUGUGAUUCCUGCGAAGAAAAAUAACCUUGUUAGAAGAGAGCAUGGCCUGAAGAAAUGACACAACGAUUAGCAGUUGGAGCUGGCUUCAUCUUCUGUUUUGUUGUGGCUUUGCUCAUGAUCAUUAUGUAUUAUCCCAGAGAUGCAUAUGAGGAAGAAUUUGAUACCUUCAGUGCAGCGAGGUUGCUACCAAAUUCAACUAGGAUACAGGAAGAUUACAUCGAAAACUCAGAAUCAAAAUACACAUUUGCAAACGUAGCCAAAAUCAUGGAAAACUUUGGAGCAGCUUUUUUGGCAUUGGGCGCAGUCAUUUGUGUAGCUGUAGGACUGGCCUGCAUAUUUUGUGCAUGCUGCGUUGUAUAAAAUUAUACUGUAAACUUAAGAGCCUGUUUUUCUUUAACAACUUAAUUGUAACAUACUCAUGAGCAACUAUUAUGUGAAAUACAUUAUGAUGGAGAAAGCUAUUUUAUGUCAUUUUUUGUACUUUUUAUAAUGUGUGUUUAUAUAUGUUAAAUAGGUAUUAAUUAAAGCUAUUGGUUUUGUUAAGAA
This is a long non-coding RNA of Parasteatoda tepidariorum (common house spider), 726 nucleotides long. NCBI's taxonomy places the organism in Eukaryota, Metazoa, Arthropoda, Arachnida, Araneae, Theridiidae. The record is from RefSeq and is a predicted model, not a curated record.